GACGAACGCUGGCGGCGUGCUUAACACAUGCAAGUCGAACGGAAAGGCCCUGCUUUUGUGGGGUGCUCGAGUGGCGAACGGGUGAGUAACACGUGAGUAACCUGCCCUUGACUUUGGGAUAACUUCAGGAAACUGGGGCUAAUACCGGAUAGGAGCUCCUGCUGCAUGGUGGGGGUUGGAAAGUUUCGGUGGUUGGGGAUGGACUCGCGGCGUAUCAGCUUGUUGGUGGGGUAGUGGCUUACCAAGGCUUUGACGGGUAGCCGGCCUGAGAGGGUGACCGGCCACAUUGGGACUGAGAUACGGCCCAGACUCCUACGGGAGGGAGCAGUGGGGAAUAUUGCACAAUGGGCGGAAGCCUGAUGCAGCAACGCCGCGUGGGGGAUGACGGCCUUCGGGUUGUAAACCGCUUUCGCCUGUGACGAAGCGUGAGUGACGGUAAUGGGUAAAGAAGCACCGGCUAACUACGUG
Molecule: ribosomal RNA, 468 nt
Filed under: uncultured bacterium
Lineage: Bacteria
Description: partial 16S ribosomal RNA
Rfam family: Bacterial small subunit ribosomal RNA
Source: RNAcentral